AGUGAACGCUGGCGGUAGGCCUAACACAUGCAAGUCGAACGGCAGCACAGUAAGAGCUUGCUCUUACGGGUGGCGAGUGGCGGACGGGUGAGGAAUACAUCGGAAUCUACUUUUUCGUGGGGGAUAACGUAGGGAAACUUACGCUAAUACCGCAUACGACCUACGGGUGAAAGCAGGGGAUCUUCGGACCUUGCGCGAUUGAAUGAGCCGAUGUCGGAUUAGCUAGUUGGCGGGGUAAAGGCCCACCAAGGCGACGAUCCGUAGCUGGUCUGAGAGGAUGAUCAGCCACCCGGGAACUGAGACACGGUCCAGCCUCCUACGGGAGGCAGCAGUGGGGAAUAUUGGACAAUGGGCGCAAGCCUGAUCCAGCCAUACCGCGUGGGUGAAAAAGGCCUUCGGGUUGUAAGGCCCUUUUGUUGGGAAAGAAAAGCAGCAGGUUAAUACCCCGCUGUUCUGACGGUACCCAAAGAAUAAGCACCGGCUAACUUCGUG
RNAcentral lists this ribosomal RNA (492 nucleotides) under uncultured bacterium. RNAcentral's name for it is "partial 16S ribosomal RNA". It matches the Rfam family "Bacterial small subunit ribosomal RNA", at positions 29 to 507 of the family's 1533-position model. The record is from RNAcentral.